ACAGGGGGCAGACAUUUAAACCUUCAGACACACCACGGGCCUCUCGAUCAACAUAUCUCAUCAUUUAAAAAAUCACUAAUAUGUAACAUUUAACAUUAGUAACGUGUUAUUUUUCGAGUAAAAUGAUCAAGAUAGUCUCGAAUUCCUAGUGACCGGAUAGAAAGCGUGGGAAUUUUGUCAUCAAACCAUGAACAACCUCCACUUCAGUAUGGCGUACAGCUUCAUCGGUCCGUCCCGCCGGGAAAGGAGUGCCGCCAGUAUAAACACCAGGGCCAGCCUUGAGCGUGCGCAUACGAUGAGUGUGGUACGUGAAUUGAAGCGGUCGUCAAAAGCACCACCUUUACCGCGCGGGAAGGACUUCCAUGUGUUCUUCUGUUUCCAUCUUGGACUACCGGACAAAGACUGGGUCAAAGUUGUGUCGAGAGAGCUCGAAUACCUGGGCUACAAGUGUUGUGUGUUCGAAAGAGAUUUUGAAACCGGGAUUUCAAUAUCUGCCAACGUAAAGAAUGCACUGGAAAAAUCGGUCAGAACAAUCGUUGUGCUGUCCUCUUCUUACAUAAAUAAGGAAUGGCGACAGAUGGAACUGGAAUACAUGUCACACGGAACGGAAGGAAUCAGUUUUGUUCCAAUUUUGAUGGAACCAUGUGGUAUACCGCCAUUUUUGAAGUACUUUCAGUACAUCAAUGCAACAGGGGGCAAAGAAACGUGGUGGCGCCACCUGGUAGACACUCUCAGAGGCUCAGCGCCAACGCUACCGCCUAGAAAAAGAUAUCAUGUCCUGUUUGCUCAUAAUAUGGCAGACACAGCAUGGGUAUCUAAAAUUGUUAAGACUUUGGAAUCUCCAAACGUUGGAUUGAUUUGUUGUUACCCCGGUAGGGACUUCAAACCUGGUUCUCCAGUGAUCGAAAACGUUGAUCAUGCAAUCAAACGAUCCGUAAAAAUCGUGCUAGUGUUGUCACAGAAUUUUCUAGCAUUAGAGUGGAAAAAGUAUUACGAUGGACGGAUGAGAGGCAGGCGACCAAUUCCAGUCUUGGUGAACAAUUGCGAACUCCCGCCAUCUCUUGAGGAUAUCGUCUGCAUUGACGCCCAGUCCGAGAAGGACCUCUGGUGGCCAGUGUUCCUUGGUGCUCUCACAGAAGAAGAUCCUGUGAAUGAUGACUCCGUGUCAAGUAGCAGUAAAUCUGUAGUAUCCCGACAAACAGAGAAGAGAUAAGAAUGAAGAGUCACGUCUUUGGUUAGAGUGCCUGCAUCCAGUCACAGACUACAGGAGACCAGGCAUGGAUUGUGUGCUCAAG
This 1295-nucleotide unclassified non-coding RNA is filed under the name Mizuhopecten yessoensis (Yesso scallop). RNAcentral's name for it is "uncharacterized LOC110446435, transcript variant X1". Lineage: Eukaryota; Metazoa; Mollusca; Bivalvia; Pectinida; Pectinidae. The record is from RNAcentral.